RNAcentral lists this non-coding RNA (79 nucleotides) under human gut metagenome. Its description in RNAcentral is "Glycine riboswitch". It matches the Rfam family "Glycine riboswitch aptamer", at positions 9 to 86 of the family's 94-position model. From Rfam's summary of the family: This family represents the bacterial glycine riboswitch. Glycine riboswitches usually consist of two metabolite-binding aptamers domains with similar structures in tandem. The record is from RNAcentral.
AAACUCUGGAGAAUUCAUUGGGUUGAAUACCGAAGGUGCAAGGCUUUUGCCGAAUCUCUCAGGUAAACAGACAGAGCGG